RNAcentral lists this long non-coding RNA (955 nucleotides) under Felis catus (domestic cat). RNAcentral's name for it is "lncRNA (ENSFCAG00000053079.1)". Lineage: Eukaryota; Metazoa; Chordata; Mammalia; Carnivora; Felidae. The record is from RNAcentral.
AGUGUAAUCCUAUCUACAGAAUACCUUUACAGCAAUCCCUGGAUUAGUGCUCAGUUGAAUGAGUGGGGGCUGAAUGACGGGACUGCAGCCUAGCCAGGCUGAUACAUGAAAAAGAUCAUCACAGAUGUCUAAACCGUGGACCAAGCCUUAAGAAAUAUGUCAAUAUAAGAUUAGCUCAGAAAAAAUACGUCAUGAGCCAGAGAAGACAGGUACAGAGUUGAAGAACAAGGAACAGAGGAGACAACAGCCAUUUCAAAAAGAAGAUGAGAAUAAAGGAGAGCAAUAUAUAUCAUAUAUACAAUAAUGAAGAACAAUAAUAUUGGCUAUGGGUUUUCUCGGGAUUCAGAACUUCUGAGAAAAAUACUCUGAUAUCCCUAAAGUUUUGAAAUGCAAUUAUAGGACUCGAACAGAACAGAACAGAACAGAGAGACAAAGAUGAGAAGGGAAAGAGAGGAGUCUGGGAGAUGUGUAAGGACACGGACUGCAUGAUUUCUGGGUCGGUGGAAAUUUCCUUCUGAGAAAAUGGCUGAAGAAAAUUAUGUUGGAAAGUUUGCAUUUCUACAACUAAGAUUCAUCUUCCCAGUUGCUGAACCUGGAAGGUCCAUAAAAUCCACCAUAACUGUGAGCUGAUCUUCUGGACGAUCGUCAAGGACCCUCAUUUACACUGUACUUUUAUACAGUAAACCCAACCUGUCUGUGUGGUAACAUUGAAACUCUAGACACCAUCUCCUUUUCUCCACCAACAUAUCUCCUCUAAUCUCUUUGGACUUGGCAUUUGUCUUUUCAAAAAUUUAUUUGUUGCAUUUUAGACUUCAUGGUCUUGCGUGGACUGAGCUUUCUCAGUCCUAUCAUAUCAGUUUCUUCUAGCUACUAUAACAAGUUACCACAAAGUUAGCGGCUUAAAACAACAGAAAUAUAUUCACCCACAGUUCUGCAAACCAGAGUCUGAAAUGGC